RNAcentral lists this long non-coding RNA (461 nucleotides) under Gossypium raimondii (Peruvian cotton). RNAcentral describes it as "long non-coding RNA (GRAI_LNC011072)". Lineage: Eukaryota; Viridiplantae; Streptophyta; Magnoliopsida; Malvales; Malvaceae. The record is from RNAcentral.
UAAAUUAUAAGGCCUAUAUACCAAUGUCCAGAUUCAUUUAAAAGCAAAAAUAAAAAUUCUGCCAAGGCCAAGACUUGAACCCGGGCUCCUCAAACACUCCCAAACACACCCAAAUUACUUAACCACUGAAGCAAACAAGUAGUUGUGUCAAAACAUGCAAAAAUUAAAAACUUAAAUUUUUGGGGCGUUACAACCAUAAUGCUACUUAGUAAACAAAAACACACGAUUUAAUUGAAAACAAAGUUUGAAGGAUGGAGAGAUAGAAACAUAGAGAAGAAGAGGAAACAUAAAAUGUUAAACAAAGGGAAUUUUUGGAAACAGAAAAAAAACAAGAUAAAAUAAAAUAAAAAUUAAAACAAUUUGAUAUUCCCAACUCCCCACUAACAUCUCAAUCUCAACUACCUCAAAAUUUUAGCUCUACCAAAACUCUAUUAGACAACCGAGAAAAAAUUAACACCCAC